AUCCUCAUGAUUUCUUACCCAUGAGCUCUAAACAUUAGUCUGAUGGCUAAAGGAGGAGGAAAGGUAAAACUGAGACUGACUUGGAUGCUUUUGUGACAUACCAGUUGGUUCAAACUAAA
Molecule: small nucleolar RNA, 119 nt
Filed under: Echinops telfairi (small Madagascar hedgehog)
Lineage: Eukaryota; Metazoa; Chordata; Mammalia; Afrosoricida; Tenrecidae
Description: Small nucleolar RNA SNORA61 (ENSETEG00000025637.1)
Source: RNAcentral